RNAcentral lists this long non-coding RNA (649 nucleotides) under Cervus hanglu yarkandensis (Yarkand deer). RNAcentral describes it as "lncRNA (ENSCHYG00000002309.1)". The record is from RNAcentral. Lineage: Eukaryota; Metazoa; Chordata; Mammalia; Artiodactyla; Cervidae.
CGCGUGUGUUGUAGCUCUGUCAAUCCUUGGAUUAGAACCAAUGAUUGCAGCUCGUAGGAGGGCUGUCCAGGGCCAGAUUGUACGAUGUGUCUCACUGCCAGAGUAUGAGGAGAGAUAAUUACUGAGAAGUCACACUCUCCCAUCCUUGGCUUUCUUGUGGUGUCCUUCAGCAAAACAGUGGAUUUAAAUCUCCUUCCACCAGCUCGAGAGCAACGCAAUCUGUCAGGAAAGAAAGAAAGAGAAAACCGAACCUGACAAAAAAGAAGAAAAAGAAGAAGAAAAAAAAUCAUGAAAACCAUCCAGGCAAAAAUGCACAAUUCUAUCUCUUGGGCAAUCUUCACGGCGCUGGCUGCUCUGUUUCUCUUUCAAGGCUCAGUCCCAGCCCGACUUGGACUCCGGAGGUGUCUGCAGUUGCAAGCCAGGAGGAGAGGAUGGAGCCUGGAGGCGGUGGCGGUGGUAGCUUCUGGCUUCCAGGGAUGGAUUUAUCACCACGUUGCUGACGAAUGUGUGAGAAACACUGCGGUGAUAAAGCAGCACCUGCCGUAAUUAAAAGAUUCAGAGGAUCCCAGAACAAGAUAAGACAAGAUGAGCCAUGAAAAGCAGUGCAGAAGAAAGUUGUCUCACCUUGUAGCUGCUGAGGCAGAAUGAG